Long non-coding RNA from Clupea harengus (Atlantic herring), 364 nucleotides. The record is from Ensembl. NCBI's taxonomy places the organism in Eukaryota, Metazoa, Chordata, Actinopteri, Clupeiformes, Clupeidae.
UCAUGUGUUCAUGUGUUCAGCAGCUUCAUGUCUUCAUGUGUUCAUCAUCUUCAUGUGUUCAUGUGUUCAUCAUCUUCAUGUGUUCAUGUGUUCAGCAUCUUCAUGUGUUCAGCACCUUCAUGUGUUCAUGUGUUCAGCAUCUUCAUGUGUUCAGCAGCUUCCUGUGUUCAUGUGUUCAUCAGCUUCCUGUGUUCAUGUGUUCAGCAGCUUCCUGUGUUCAUGUGUUCAUCAGCUUCAUGUGUUCAUGUGUUCUUCACCUUCAUGUGUUCAGCAUCUUCAUGUGUUCAUCAUCUUCAUGUGUUCAUCACCUUCAUGUGUUCAUGUGUUCAGCAUCUUCAUGUGUUCAUCAUCUUCAUGUGUUCAU